This 253-nucleotide ribosomal RNA is filed under the name uncultured bacterium. RNAcentral describes it as "partial 16S ribosomal RNA". It matches the Rfam family "Bacterial small subunit ribosomal RNA", at positions 524 to 776 of the family's 1533-position model. The record is from RNAcentral.
UACGUAGGGUGCAAGCGUUGUCCGGAAUUAUUGGGCGUAGAGAGCUUGUAGGCGGUUUGUCGCGUCUGCUGUGAAAUUUCGGGGCUCAACCCCGAACUUGCAGUGGGUACGGGCAGACUAGAGUGUGGUAGGGGAGACUGGAAUUCCUGGUGUAGCGGUGAAAUGCGCAGAUAUCAGGAGGAACACCGAUGGCGAAGGCAGGUCUCUGGGCCACUACUGACGCUGAGAAGCGAAAGCAUGGGGAGCGAACAGG